This 468-nucleotide ribosomal RNA is filed under the name uncultured bacterium. RNAcentral describes it as "partial 16S ribosomal RNA". It matches the Rfam family "Bacterial small subunit ribosomal RNA", at positions 28 to 507 of the family's 1533-position model. The record is from RNAcentral.
GACGAACGCUGGCGGCGUGCUUAACACAUGCAAGUCGAACGGAAAGGCCCUGCUUUUGUGGGGUGCUCGAGUGGCGAACGGGUGAGUAACACGUGAGUAAACUGCCCUUGACUUUGGGAUAACUUCAGGAAAAUGGGGCUAAUACCGGAUAGGAGCUCCUGCUGCGUGGUGGGGGUUGGAAAGUUUCGGCGGUUGGGGAUGGACUCGCGGCUUAUCAGCUUGUUGGUGGGGUAGUGGCUUACCAAGGCUUUGACGGGUAGCCGGCCUGAGAGGGUGACCGGCCACAUUGGGACUGAGAUACGGCCCAGACUCCUACGGGAGGCAGCAGUGGGGAAUAUUGCACAAUGGGCGGAAGCCUGAUGCAGCAACGCCGCGUGCGGGAUGACGGCCUUCGGGUUGUAAACCGCUUUCGCCUGUGACGAAGCGUGAGUGACGGUAAUGGGUAAAGAAGCACCGGCUAACUACGUG